Molecule: ribosomal RNA, 492 nt
Filed under: uncultured bacterium
Lineage: Bacteria
Description: partial 16S ribosomal RNA
Rfam family: Bacterial small subunit ribosomal RNA
Source: RNAcentral
AGUGAACGCUGGCGGUAGGCCUAACACAUGCAAGUCGAACGGCAGCACAGUAAGAGCUUGCUCUUACGGGUGGCGAGUGGCGGACUGGUGAGGAAUACAUCGGAAUCUACUUUUUCGUGGGGGAUAACGUAGGGAAACUUACGCUAAUACCGCAUACGACCUACGGGUGAAAGCAGGGGAUCUUCCGACCUUGCGCGAUUGAAUGAGCCGAUGUCGGAUUAGCUAGUUGGCGGGGUAAAGGCCCACCAAGGCGACGAUCCGUAGCUGGUCUGAGAGGAUGAUCAGCCACACUGGAACUGAGACACGGUCCAGACUCCUACGGGAGGCAGCAGUGGGGAAUAUUGGACAAUGGGCGCAAGCCUGAUCCAGCCAUACCGCGUGGGUGAAGAAGGCCUUCGGGUUGUAAAGCCCUUUUGUUGGGAAAGAAAAGCAGCAGGUUAAUACCCCGCUGUUAUGACGGUACCCAAAGAAUAAGCACCGGCUAACUUCGUG